CUGCGGCUCUGGAGCGGAGCCCUGCGGCCCGCCGCGCCGCCCGCCUCCUUACAAGACGCGCCACACGCGUUGAAGGCUGGCCAUCACGGGGAUACGCUGUACACUGCCGGGAACGGCGGCGACGUGCGCGUGUGGCGCGUGCUGCAGGACUCCUGAGACCCGCCACAAGUGACGGCCGAGUGCGGUGCUGGCGCAUUCGAAUGAGAUGACCGUCCCCCGCCUCCCCCCGCGCAUCCCCGCGGCCCCCCGCCCCGCGCCGCCCGCGCGUGUGGAGGUGACGCCGCACCGCACGACACGGCGGGCGUUGUGGAUACUUCUAUUAGCGGUAGUAUGGUUGUACUUUCGUCGACAGAUAACUGAUUCGUAGACCUUAUUGCGAUGAGAUAAGGUCGAAACGAUUGGCAAAGUAUCACUAGUAGUUAACCAUAGACAACUUAGUACAUAAAAAGAAUUUGAAUGACAAACCAUGCUAAAUAAAAAGACAAAUUAGUAAGACAAAUCCAAAAUCGGAUAUUUCAGUAGAUAAACAUAACAUUACCACUUAACUUACCAGUGUAGAAUUGGACGAUUGCCUUUUACUGGACUGGACUUGUUUAAAAGGCGAUGUAUCUGUUACUAAAAGACAACUAUUAUUAUUUUAAUUAAUUAUUUUAGAGAUAUUGUUUAACUGAUUUCUCCAUACUGGAAUUACAUUAUUGGAACAUUAUUAAAUACUUAGAGGUAUUGAUAGCUACCCAAAUAUUAGUUCCUGUUUAUGUCUUGCGUAAAACUCUCUCUAUAUAGCUGGUAAGUUUUUUUAAAUUUUUUAACAUACAAAUGUCAUGAAAUUUGAAUAAGUCAUCAGUAAAAUAAUAGUAGGGACUUGAUAUGAUUAGAUGGAUUCAAAAUAUACUAUGAUAUACAAUACAAUUUCACGACCUAAGUAGCAAUACAUUCAAUUACGUUUUUAACAAUUUUAAUACAUUUUAGCACUGAUAACUAUGAAGACGCGAAAUCAAAUAAAUCGAAUCUAAAGGUGUAACAACGCGUUCAAUAUCGUGUUGUAUCUAAUUUUAUCUGAAACCUUUUAAUAAUAUGUACCGUAUUUAGAAUAAAUUAAUUAAUUUCCAUCCUUUAAACGGUGUAAAAAAAAGUCUACGUAGUAACAACAAAUAUUUAGAUGUUUUUACAGCGUCAACUGAGUUGUAGUCCUUUUUACAUCAAAUAGGUACAUAGCUAGGUACAAUAUCAUUCUCAGUUUUACAAGAACAACAUUUUAAAUAACGACUUUAUAAGCAAAAGUGUAUUAAUGGAUUAAAUGUAAAUCAUAUGGUCACAACUUAAUUAUUAUGUAACAUGUAUUCAAUGUAAUAAAUGUGGCCAAUAUGUAGUGACUUUAUACGAUUAGCUAGAUACAUUUUAACUAUAGUUCGUUCGCGUUAAGAAUGCAGUAAAAUCAUCAGUGUCCGCCGGCCUAGCGAUGCUAGUAAUCAAUCAAAUCGUUACUAAUUAAGUAUGCCUUCAACUGGUCAUUGUGAACUUGACUUUCUAAUUAGGAACGAUUUGAUUGGUUACGAGCGUGACUAGUGGCAUAGUGACAAUGAUUGAAUGAUUUUACUGCAUUUAUAACGCGAACGAAUGAUAUUUAGAACAAAAUUCAAACUAGUUCCGAAUGUUCACGAUUCAUUUUAAACUAUUAUUUAUACGAAUAGUAAUGCAAAUGUCUAUUAUAAGUAGUUAUAUAAGUUUAGUGAAUAAAGUUAGACCAAGAAAAGUCAGCAACGAUUUUGAUAGC
This is a long non-coding RNA of Cydia strobilella, 1774 nucleotides long. RefSeq lists it as uncharacterized. NCBI's taxonomy places the organism in Eukaryota, Metazoa, Arthropoda, Insecta, Lepidoptera, Tortricidae. The record is from RefSeq and is a predicted model, not a curated record. The transcript is spliced from 3 exons.